This 634-nucleotide ribosomal RNA is filed under the name Pleosporales sp. LH222. Its description in RNAcentral is "eukaryotic LSU rRNA". The stretch from base 263 to 416 matches the Rfam family "5.8S ribosomal RNA". Lineage: Eukaryota; Fungi; Ascomycota; Dothideomycetes; Pleosporales. The record is from RNAcentral.
UGGAAGUAAAAGUCGUAACAAGGUUUCCGUAGGUGAACCUGCGGAAGGAUCAUUAACCGUUACAAACAGUGUGUGAUGCGGCCGCCGAGGUGAAUAGCCUCUGGUUGGUAUGGGGUUCGCCCCUUCACGCUCACGCGUCUGCCAUCCUUACUUUACGAGCACCUUCUGUUCUCCCUCGGCAAGGGCCUCGCCCUGCCGUUGGAACUACAAAACUCUUUUUUUGCAUCUAGCAUUACCUGUUCCGACAAAAACAAUCGUUUACAACUUUCAACAAUGGAUCUCUUGGCUCUGGCAUCGAUGAAGAACGCAGCGAAAUGCGAUAAGUAGUGUGAAUUGCAGAAUUCAGUGAAUCAUCGAAUCUUUGAACGCACAUUGCGCCCCUCGGUAUUCCGUGGGGCAUGCCUGUUCGAGCGUCAUCUACACCCUCAAGCUCUGCUUGGUGUUGGGCGUCUGUCCCGCCUCCGCGCGUGGACUCGCCCCAAAUACAUUGGCAGCGGUCUUUGCCUCCUCUCGCGCAGCACAUUGCGCUUCUCGAGGUGUCGCGGACACGCGUCCAGUAAGCAACAUUUACCGUCUUUGACCUCGGAUCAGGUAGGGAUACCCGCUGAACUUAAGCAUAUCAAUAAGCGGAGGA